RNAcentral lists this long non-coding RNA (201 nucleotides) under Zostera marina. RNAcentral's name for it is "long non-coding RNA (ZMAR_LNC002718)". The record is from RNAcentral. Lineage: Eukaryota; Viridiplantae; Streptophyta; Magnoliopsida; Alismatales; Zosteraceae.
ACACGAUACGUAAGAUUCAUGCAUUUUAUUUUAAUAAUAUAUACAUCGAUCAAUAGGGCUCGAUUUAUUACGUGGAAAACGACAGAGAAUCCCAUGCAUGAUUUACAACUGUAAUAAGAUCAGCGCCAGCAACAGUGUCGAUCGCCGGCCUGAAAGAGGUGGGAGUCGUGACCAAAAGCGUGAUAGAUGAUUGAAUCACCA